This 2562-nucleotide ribosomal RNA is filed under the name Triticum aestivum (bread wheat). RNAcentral describes it as "partial small subunit ribosomal RNA". Lineage: Eukaryota; Viridiplantae; Streptophyta; Magnoliopsida; Poales; Poaceae. The record is from RNAcentral.
AUGGAUCCAGCGCUCAAGGAGUACCUCGACAAGCUCCGUCAGGACGCCAAGGCCGACUCCGCCCACGUCCUCAAGCAGAUGCAGGCGCAGUCCUCGCAGAUCGACGACCUACUUCACUGGAAGCCAGAUCUCGAGGCGCGCUUCGCGAAGUUGGAGUCCACAGUCACGGUGCUGCGAGCGACCGCACCGCCGAGUGGAGUGGCGAUUCCUCAACAUCUUCCUCCCCUGCUUCCAGCGCGGGGAGACCUCCACGGGCCCGAUGGCCGCGGCGACGUCGACCACACCGGAGGGGGCUCGUCAGUGACCCGCGAGUCACUGGCGGCACUUCCGGUCACGGGUACGCCCUCUCUUCCGAUCGUGCCGGCCCCUGUUCCUCCCCUGUCUUCUUCCAUCCUGACCAACUUGGGCCAACCACCAUCCAUGAAUUUCCCGAUGUUCACCGGCGAAAAUCCACAGCUCUGGAUAACUCUUUGCGAGCAAUACUUCCAGAUGUUCACGAUUCCCGACGCCUAUCGUGUUCCCAUGGCCACCCUGAAUUUUUCUGGUCCCGCGGGCAUCUGGCUACAGUCCGUCCAGAAAAAAUUAACUGGACUGGAUUGGGAGUCCUUCACCUCCCUCCUCUGCACCCGAUUUGGUCGUGACAAACACCAAAUGCUCAUUCGCCAAUUCUACGCUGUCAAACAAACUAUCACAGUAGCAGAUUUCAUUGAACGUUUCGAGACCUUGAUGAAUCAUCUUAUAUCUUACUCUGAGUCCACUCACCCGUAUUUUUUCCUGACUCGUUUUGUGGAGGGACUACGACCGGAUAUCCGUGCGGUGGUGCUCGUGCAACGCCCACCGGACCUGGACACGGCGUGCUCGCUGGCUCUACUUCAGGAGGAAGUGGCCGACGGCGGUCACUCAUUUGGGCGCCUCUCCAAUGCUUCCCGAGGCCACGGUCACGCGGGACGAUCGACGCCACCGUCCUUCUUCAGUCGGCCGGCUACACCAACUAUGAUCUCUGAAGAUCGCCGUGGAACUGAAGCAGCUCGCAUGACACCUGAAGCCAGCAAGGUCGCCGCUCUUCACGCCUUUCGGCGCGCGAAGGGGCUAUGUUUCAAGUGUGGCGAACGGUGGGGGAAGGACCACACCUGCCCGCCCACAGUGCAAAUGCACAUCGUGGAAGAGCUGCUCGCCAUGUUUCCCCAAGAUGAUGUGCAAUCUGAAUCGCCACUAGCUUCACCAAUUUUUGACGAGGAGAACCUCUGUACUCUGUCCCGUCAGGCUGAAGAUGGCUCGUCAGACCCAGGGGUACUGCAGUUGCAUGCCUGGCUCCAAGGACACGAGAUCCUGCUACUCGUCGACUCCGGUAGUUCUACGUCCUUCGUCGAUAGCUCUCUGGCAGCAAAACUCACUGGAGCCAAGCCACUGUCGCGCCCAUGCAGCGUACGCGUCGCCAAUGGCAACACCAUUCCCUGCACCACCUACAUCCCAGCGUGUCAGUGGACAACCCAGGGGCAUGAUUUCAGGAUAGAUUUCAAGAUCCUCAAACUGGGCUCGUACGAUGCAAUUCUCGGGAUGGACUGGUUAAGGCAGCACAGCCCCAUGAACAUUGACUGGAUCGAGCAAUUCUUAAAAGUUACAACUCCAGCCGGCCAACUGACGCUAUCUGCUACUGCUUCAGACCAAACCCAAUGCUCUAUGAUCUCCGCACCAGAGCUCCUCAAGGCUUGCAGGCAAGGAUCAGUAGUGCACAUCGUGCACCUCAGCGCUCUUGUCAGCUCCAGCACUGCCGAUUCUCCGAUUCCUGUUGAGAUCUUGCGCCUACUGGAACAGUUCACGGAUGUCUUUGAGGACCCACGGACCUUGCCACCUCGCCGCAAUUGCGACUAUCGCAUUCCUCUGAUGGCCGGUGCGCAGCCUGUCAAUUCCAGACCGUAUAGAUACAAACCUGAAUUAAAGGCAGAAAUCGAACAUCAGGUUCAGGAAAUGCUCGACGCAAGAUUCAUCCAGAAAAGUUCCAACCCCUUUUCAUCUCCAGCACUGCUAGACAAGAAGAAGGAUGGUACAUGGCGCUUGUGCGUUGACUACCGUCGCCUCAACUCCAUGACCGUGGUCGCCAAGUUUCCAGUACCAAUCAUCGCCGAGCUCCUUGAUGAACUGGUCGGUGCAAAGUGGUUCCCGAAGCUCGACUUACGUGCUGGAUUUCAUCAGAUAAGGAUGGCGGAAGGCGAAGAGUACAAGACGGCCUUCCAAACACACUCCGGGCACUGGGAAUACCGUGUCAUGCCUUUCGGAGUAGCGGAAGGUCCAGCCACAUUCAACGGGGGCAUGCACACCACCCUGUGCCCAGUCAUGCGCAAAUGCGUCGUCUCAUUCUUCGACGACAUCCUCAUCUUCAGCAAAACCCUGUCAGAACAUAUCCAACACAUCGCGCGCGUGCUCCAGCUGCUCAGAGACGACCACUGGCAAGUCAAGCAAUCCAAAUGUUCCUUCGCACAACGCCAGAUCGCUUACCUGGGGCAUGUGAUCGACGAACGUGGCGUUUCUACAGAUCCUAGCAAGGUCCUGACGAUCAAGUAG